RNAcentral lists this long non-coding RNA (217 nucleotides) under Homo sapiens (human). RNAcentral's name for it is "HSALNT0215371". Lineage: Eukaryota; Metazoa; Chordata; Mammalia; Primates; Hominidae. The record is from RNAcentral.
CAAACCACCUCACGAUUUUUCAGGAAGCCAGGGCGAGGAACUUGGAUUCCAAAGCCUAGAGAAAGAUGUACUGAUAGGCUCCCCCCACUGCAGCUGUUUUGUUCUUCAAAUAUAUUAUCACUUUUUAAACGGAUGGUAAAGGAAAAAAAUGCAUUCAUUUUUUCAGCCUAAGGAGACUGCAGGAAAAAGCAGUUCUGCUGCUGAGGUACAACGUAGC